AUAACGGUCCUAAGGUAGCGAAAUUCCUUGUCAGGUAAGUUCUGACCCGCACGAAAGGCGUAACGAUUUGGGCGCUGUCUCAGCUGUAGACUCGGUGAAGUCUUAGUACCUGUGAAGAUGCAGGUUACCCGCGACUAGACGGAAAGACCCCAUGGAGCUUCACUGCAGGUUGAUAUUGGGAUUUGAUGCAGCAUGUACAGGAUAGGUAGGAGGCAAAGAGAUGGAUACGCCAGUAUUCAAGGAGCCGCUGUUGGGAUACUACCCCUGUUGUAUUGGAUUUCUAACCGGACGACGUAGAGCCGUUGACGGGACAGUGUCAGUCGGGCAGUUUGACUGGGGCGGUCGCCUCCCAAAGAGUAACGGAGGCGCCCAAAGAUACCCUCAGCUUGGAUGGAAACCAAGCGCAGAGUGCAAAGGCAAAAGGGUGUUUGACUGCGAGACCCACAAGUCGAGCAGGGACGAAAGUCGGGCUUAGUGAUCCGGCGGUGCUGAAUGGAAAGGCCGUCGCUCAACGGAUAAAAGCUACCCUGGGGAUAACAGGCUGAUCUCCCCCAAGAGUCCACAUCGACGGGGAGGUUUGGCACCUCGAUGUCGGCUCAUCGCAUCCUGGGGCUGUAUUCGGUCCCAAGGGUUUGGCUGUUCGCCAAUUAAAGCGGUACGCGAGCUGGGUUCAGAACGUCGUGAGACAGUUCGGUCCCUAUCUGUCGUGGGCGAAGGAUAUUUGAAAGGAGCUGUCCCUAGUACGAGAGGACCGGGAUGGACGCACCUCUGGUGCACCAGUUGUCACGCCAGUGGCACAGCUGGGCAGCUAAGUGCGGAACGGAUAAACGCUGAAGGCAUCUAAGCGUGAAGCCGGCCUUAAGAUAAGAUAUCCCAUUACGUAAGUAAGUAAGACCCCUCAAAGACGAUGAGGUUGAUAGGUCUGAUGUGUAAGCAUGGUGACAUGUUUAGCUAGCAGAUACUAAUUGGUCGAGGGCUUUUCCUU
RNAcentral lists this ribosomal RNA (985 nucleotides) under human gut metagenome. RNAcentral describes it as "bacterial LSU rRNA". It matches the Rfam family "Bacterial large subunit ribosomal RNA", at positions 1942 to 2925 of the family's 2925-position model. The record is from RNAcentral.